RNAcentral lists this ribosomal RNA (412 nucleotides) under uncultured bacterium. RNAcentral's name for it is "bacterial SSU rRNA". It matches the Rfam family "Bacterial small subunit ribosomal RNA", at positions 8 to 422 of the family's 1533-position model. The record is from RNAcentral.
AGAGUUUGAUCCUGGCUCAGAUUGAACGCUGGCGGCAUGCUUUACACAUGCAAGUCGAACGGCAGCACGGGCUUCGGCCUGGUGGCGAGUGGCGAACGGGUGAGUAAUGCAUCGGAACGUACCGUGUAGUGGGGGAUAACGUAGCGAAAGUUACGCUAAUACCGCAUACGCCCCGAGGGGGAAAGUGGGGGACCGCAAGGCCUCACGCUAUAUGAGCGGCCGAUGUCGGAUUAGCUAGUUGGUAGGGUAAAGGCCUACCAAGGCGACGAUCCGUAGCGGGUCUGAGAGGAUGAUCCGCCACACUGGGACUGAGACACGGCCCAGACUCCUACGGGAGGCAGCAGUGGGGAAUUUUGGACAAUGGGCGCAAGCCUGAUCCAGCCAUGCUGCGUGAGUGAAGAAGGCCUUCGGG